This 253-nucleotide ribosomal RNA is filed under the name uncultured bacterium. RNAcentral's name for it is "partial 16S ribosomal RNA". It matches the Rfam family "Bacterial small subunit ribosomal RNA", at positions 524 to 776 of the family's 1533-position model. The record is from RNAcentral.
UACAGAGGUCUCAAGCGUUGUUCGGAUUCAUUGGGCGUAAAGGGUGUGUAGGUGGCGCGCUAAGUCGGGUGUGAAAUUUCGGAGCUUAACUCCGAAACUGCAUUCGAUACUGGCGUGCUUGAGGACUGGAGAGGAGACUGGAAUUCAUAGUGUAGCAGUGAAAUGCGUAGAUAUUGGGAGGAACACCAGUGGCGAAGGCGGCUCACUGGACCGGUACUGACGCUGAUGCGCGAAAGCGUGGGGAGCAAACGGG